GCAAGUCGAACGGUCUCUCGAUCUUCGGAUCAAAGAGAUAGUGGCGAACGGGUGAGUAACACGUAAGAAACCUGCCCUUAAGUCGAGGAUAACCAUUGGAAACGAUGGCUAAUACUGGAUAGGAUAUAAGAUCACAUGAUCUAAUAUUUAAAGAUCCGUAUUGAUCGCUUUAGGAUGGUCUUGCGCAGCAUUAGCUAGAUGGUAGGGUAACGGCCUACCAUGGCGACGAUGCUUAGGUGGUCUGAGAGGAUGAAC
This 255-nucleotide ribosomal RNA is filed under the name uncultured bacterium. RNAcentral's name for it is "partial 16S ribosomal RNA". It matches the Rfam family "Bacterial small subunit ribosomal RNA", at positions 57 to 305 of the family's 1533-position model. The record is from RNAcentral.